Molecule: ribosomal RNA, 406 nt
Filed under: uncultured bacterium
Lineage: Bacteria
Description: partial 16S ribosomal RNA
Rfam family: Bacterial small subunit ribosomal RNA
Source: RNAcentral
AUUGAACGCUGUCGGCAGGCCUACACAUGCAAGUCGAGCGGCGCGGCCGACGGGUGAGUAAUGCCUAGGAAUCUGCCUGGUAGUGGGGGAUUACGUCCCGAAACGGGGGCUACUACCGCCUACCAUCCGCUGAGCCGCGGUCGGAUUAGCUAGUUGGUGGGGUAAAGGCCUACCAAGGCGAAGAUCCGUAACUGGUCUGAGAGGAUGAUCAGUCACAAUGGAACUGAGACACGGUCCAGACUCCUACGGGAGGCAGAAGUGGGGAAUAUUGGACAAUGGGGGAAAGCCUGAUCCAGCCAUGCCGCGUGUGUGAAGAAGGUCUUCGGAUUGUAAAGCACUUUAAGUUGGGAGGCGUUACCAACAGAAUAAGCACCGGCUAACUUCGUGCCAGCAGCCGCGGUAAUAC